Molecule: non-coding RNA, 26 nt
Filed under: Mus musculus (house mouse)
Lineage: Eukaryota; Metazoa; Chordata; Mammalia; Rodentia; Muridae
Source: RNAcentral
UGGGACUAUGUGAUCGAAUUUAUCCC